CCCUUUGAUACUCUGGGCGGUACGCGCGCUACACUGGUUUAUAUAACGUGUAAUUUGGACGAUAGUCUGUAUAAAUCACUAAUAUAAAACCGUGAAUGGGAUAGUUUAUUGCAACUUACAAACUUUAACUAGGAAUCCCUUGUAGAAGUAGUGAAUUAUACUGCUUCGAAUACGUCCCUGCCGAUUGUACACACCGCCCGUCGUUUCUUCCGACUGGUACUCAUUGUGAAUUGCGAGGAGAUUCUGUCAAAUCGUUGUAAGUGCUGGGUAUUGGAGGAAGAAAAAGUCGUAACA
This 294-nucleotide ribosomal RNA is filed under the name uncultured eukaryote. RNAcentral's name for it is "partial 18S ribosomal RNA". It matches the Rfam family "Eukaryotic small subunit ribosomal RNA", at positions 1470 to 1796 of the family's 1831-position model. The record is from RNAcentral.